AGCUUGUAUGCAAAGAAAUAUUUUCCUGUUCUCUUUUGACUAUCUUUUGAAAGCUUUUGCUUUAUGUGUGAUACAGUUGAUAUUUAUCAAAACUUAGGUCAUUUGCAAUCAUCAUAUUUUCUAAAUUAUCUUACUGGUUUUAAAUGAUUUUUUUGUACAAUAUACACUUUGUUUUGUUUGAAAUAGUUGAGGUUUUUGUAUCACAACCUGUCCAAGCGUGACUUAUUUGGCAGUUAAAGGUAUUUAAGAUUUGUAUCUACAAAUUCACUGUAAAUCUGUUUAAAAUAGCCAGUCAAGGUCGUUAAAAACUUCCAUCAUCAUUCACUGAUUUUGUCAAUGAAUCUGAGAAGUUUGUGAUAUGGAAAUGACUUUUAAUAGAUGCAAAAUAAGUUCAAAUCAUUUUCCUUUGUUCCUGAAAAAAGUACUCAUUAUUAAUGAAAGCUAAUAUAAAAGUAGAUGGAAAAUGUAACUUUUUUUUAAGAGUUGGUUUACAUUUUUUGCAAUCAAACAUACCAUGUGCAUUGUAUAGUUGUGUUGGUUUAACAUUUUGUGAUAUGUGAGGUGCUAGUAUGUUAAUUAAUCAAAUGAGAUUGUAAUGUCAAAGUUUUUUUUCUGGAUGUAUACAAGAAGCCUUUUUUGUAGAACCACAGUGUAUAUCAGAGAGUCUGAUCUAUGGAAUCAUUGAGAAUGACAGUUCUUAUUCAUCAAGUUCAUCACAAAUUACAUCCUGUAGUUCUGCUAAGAGACACAUUUUGUGUGUGCACCUUACAUUUUAUAAGUUUUUUUACUUGAGAACUUUUUAUUUAUUUAAAAAGCCAUACAAAAUAACAUAAAUAUCAUUUCUAUAAGCC
Molecule: long non-coding RNA, 851 nt
Filed under: Mytilus galloprovincialis (Mediterranean mussel)
Lineage: Eukaryota; Metazoa; Mollusca; Bivalvia; Mytilida; Mytilidae
Source: RNAcentral